Molecule: ribosomal RNA, 496 nt
Filed under: uncultured bacterium
Lineage: Bacteria
Description: bacterial SSU rRNA
Rfam family: Bacterial small subunit ribosomal RNA
Source: RNAcentral
GAUGAACGCUAGCGGCAGGCUUAAUACAUGCAAGUUGAGGGGCAGCAUGAUAUACGCGAGUAUAUUGAUGGCGACCGGCGGACGGGUGAGUAAUAGGUAGGAGACCUACCUCAUACAGGGGGAUAGCAUAGAGAAAUCUGUGGUAAUACCCCAUGAGGUUAUAUGAAUAGAGGCAUAUAAUCAAAGCAUAAGCGAUUAUGCGGUAUGAGAGGGGCCUACUGACCAUUAGCUAGUUGGUGAGGUAAGGGCUCACCAAGGCGAAGAUGGUUAGGGGUUUUGAGAGAGAGACCCCCCACAUUGGAACUGAGAGACGGUCCAGACUCCUACGGGAGGCAGCAGUAGGGAAUAUUGGGCAAUGGGCGAAAGCCUGACCCAGCCAUGCCGCGUGAAGGAAGACGGCCUUAUGGGGUUGUAAACUUCUUUACUACGCGAAUAGAGGUUAGUACGAGAUACUAAAUAGGAAGGUAGUGUAGUAAAAGCACCGGCUAACUCCGUG